RNAcentral lists this ribosomal RNA (253 nucleotides) under uncultured bacterium. Its description in RNAcentral is "partial 16S ribosomal RNA". It matches the Rfam family "Bacterial small subunit ribosomal RNA", at positions 524 to 776 of the family's 1533-position model. The record is from RNAcentral.
UACGUAGGGGGCAAGCGUUGUCCGGAUUUACUGGGCGUAAAGAGCGUGUAGGCGGUUUGUCGCGUCUGCUGUGAAAAUCCGGGGCUCAACCCCGGACUUGCAGUGGGUACGGGCAGACUGGAGUGUGGUAGGGGAGACUGGAAUUCCUGGUGUAGCGGUGGAAUGCGCAGAUAUCAGGAGGAACACCGAUGGCGAAGGCAGGUCUCUGGGCCACUACUGACGCUCAGGCACGAAAGCUAGGGGAGCGAACAGG